GAAUCAUUGACUUGUGCUGUCUUUUGUUUCAAAAACACAGAGUUCUUGACAAUUUAAAACGGCAUCUUUG
This 70-nucleotide small nucleolar RNA is filed under the name Danio rerio (zebrafish). RNAcentral describes it as "small nucleolar RNA SNORD18". Lineage: Eukaryota; Metazoa; Chordata; Actinopteri; Cypriniformes; Danionidae. The record is from RNAcentral.